This 775-nucleotide ribosomal RNA is filed under the name uncultured Neocallimastigales. RNAcentral describes it as "partial large subunit ribosomal RNA". It matches the Rfam family "Eukaryotic large subunit ribosomal RNA", at positions 20 to 616 of the family's 3401-position model. Lineage: Eukaryota; Fungi; Neocallimastigomycota; Neocallimastigomycetes; Neocallimastigales. The record is from RNAcentral.
UACUAGAGUAGCACUCGCAUAUCAAUAAGCGGAGGAAAAGAAACUAACAAGGAUUCCCCUAGUAACGGCGAGUGAAGCGGGAAGAGCUCAAAUUUGAAAUCUUAAAGGGUUUCCCUUUACGAAUUGUAGUUUAAAGAAGUGUUUUCUGUUGAGGUUUUGGUAAAAGUUCUUUGGAAUAGGACAUCAUAGAGGGUGAGAAUCCCGUAUUUGACCUUUACUUUCAACUUUGUGAUACACUUUCAAAGAGUCGGAUUGUUUGGGAAUGCAGUCCAAAAUGGGUGGUAAAUUUCAUCUAAAGCUAAAUAUUGGCGAGAGACCGAUAGCGAACAAGUACCGUGAGGGAAAGAUGAAAAGAACUUUGAAAAGAGAGUUAAACAGUACGUGAAAUUGUCAAAAGGGGAAGCGUUUGACACCAGUGUUGUUUUUCUGAAAAUCAAUUAAAGAACUGUUUAUGCUAAGCUGUUUAGACUUUAUCAGCUAUCUGUUUAGUUUUGAGCUUUUCUUUAAUGCACUUUUCAGUUAACAAGUCAACAUCAAUUUCUUUUGCUGUAAAAAAGCUUGAGGAAGGUGGCUUGAGAUUCGUCUUAAGUGUUUAUAGCCUCUUGCCUAUGCAGUCGGAGAGAUUGAGGUCUGCAGCGUAGAUCCUUCGGGGCUAAAUGCAUUUGUGCUAAGUUAUAGCAUUUUAUAGACAACUUGUUGACUAUGAUUUGUCUUGUAGCUUACUCGCUUAUGUUAUUUUACCUACGCUUAGGAUGUUGAGCGCAUGUCUCUCUCU